Molecule: RNase P RNA, 339 nt
Filed under: Oscillospiraceae bacterium
Lineage: Bacteria; Bacillati; Bacillota; Clostridia; Eubacteriales; Oscillospiraceae
Description: RNase P RNA component class A
Rfam family: Bacterial RNase P class A
About the family: Ribonuclease P (RNase P) is a ubiquitous endoribonuclease, found in archaea, bacteria and eukarya as well as chloroplasts and mitochondria. Its best characterised activity is the generation of mature 5'-ends of tRNAs by cleaving the 5'-leader elements of precursor-tRNAs. Cellular RNase Ps are ribonucleoproteins.
Source: RNAcentral
CAAGGAAACUAAGCAGCCGCCGGUAUGGGAACAUACGGGAGGAAAGUCCGGGCUCCACAGGGCAAGGAUAGCGGGUAACACCCGCCCAUGGCAACAUGAGGACGAGUGCAACAGAAAUAAACCGCCGAGGAAUCGGUAAGGGUGGAAAGGCGAGGUAAGAGCUCACCGCGCCUCCGUGAGAACGGAGGGGCCUGUAAACUCUAUCCGGAGCAACACCGACACGGGGCAUAAGCCGGCCCGGCGGUCCCCGAACGGGUGGCGUUGAGCUGUUUGGCAACAAACGGCCCAGAUAGAUGGCUGCUCACGACAGAACCCGGCUUAUCGGUUAUGCCUUGCCGU